Molecule: transfer RNA, 63 nt
Filed under: Echinophyllia aspera
Lineage: Eukaryota; Metazoa; Cnidaria; Anthozoa; Scleractinia; Lobophylliidae
Description: tRNA-Ser
Source: RNAcentral
AUGAGGUUAGGCUUCAUUUAAAAGUAGACCAAAAAACAAAGGAUGUGCUUAAUCUUCUUCAUG